Molecule: ribosomal RNA, 253 nt
Filed under: uncultured bacterium
Lineage: Bacteria
Description: partial 16S ribosomal RNA
Rfam family: Bacterial small subunit ribosomal RNA
Source: RNAcentral
CGACGUGGAGAACCUGCCGUAUACUGGGGGAUAACACUUAGAAAUAGGUGCUAAUACCGCAUAAGCGCACAGCUUCGCAUGAAGCAGUGUGGAAAACAAAAAGCUAAAGCUUUUGGUGGUAUACGAUGGAUCCGCGUCUGAUUAGCUUGUUGCGGGUAAAGGCCCACCAAGGCGACGAUCAGUAGCCGGCCUGAGAGGGUGAACGGCCACAUUGGGACUGAGACACGGCCCAAACUCCUACGGGAGGCAGCAG